AUUGAACGCUGGCGGAAUGCUUUACACAUGCAAGUCGAGCGGCAGCGCGGGGCAACCCCUUGAGAGUGGCGAACGGGUGAGUAAUGCAUCGGAACGUGCCCAGUCGUGGGGGAUAACGCAGCGAAAGCUGUGCUAAUACCGCAUACGAUCUCUGGAUGAAAGCGGGGGACCGAAAGGCCUCGCGCGAUUGGAGCGGCCGAUGUCAGAUUAGGUAGUUGGUGGGGUAAAGGCUCACCAAGCCAACGAUCUGUAGCUGGUCUGAGAGGACGACCAGCCACACUGGGACUGAGACACGGCCCAGACUCCUACGGGAGGCAGCAGUGGGGAAUUUUGGACAAUGGGCGCAAGCCUGAUCCAGCAAUGCCGCGUGCAGGAAGAAGGCCUUCGGGUUGUAAACUGCUUUUGUACGGAACGAAAAGGUCUGGGUUAAUACCCUGGGCACAUGACGGUACCGUAAGAAUAAGCACCGGCUAACUACGUGCCAGCCGCCGCAGUAA
RNAcentral lists this ribosomal RNA (497 nucleotides) under uncultured bacterium. RNAcentral describes it as "partial 16S ribosomal RNA". It matches the Rfam family "Bacterial small subunit ribosomal RNA", at positions 29 to 523 of the family's 1533-position model. The record is from RNAcentral.